Molecule: ribosomal RNA, 459 nt
Filed under: uncultured bacterium
Lineage: Bacteria
Description: partial 16S ribosomal RNA
Rfam family: Bacterial small subunit ribosomal RNA
Source: RNAcentral
CCUACUUUCUUCCGCCGUUCUUACUAUUGUUCCCUGGGCGCCGGCCUGAACCAGCCAAGUCGCGUGAGGGAAGACUGCCCUAUGGGUUGUAAACCUCUUUUAUAAGGGAAGAAUAAUGACUACGUGUAGUCAGAUGCCCGUACCUUAUGAAUAAGCAUCGGCUAACUCCGUGCCAGCAGCCGCGGUAAUACGGAGGAUGCGAGCGUUAUCCGGAUUUAUUGGGUUUAAAGGGUGCGUAGGCGGUAUUUUAAGUUAGUGGUAAAACGUCGGGGCUUCACCUUGAUUGGCCAUUAAAACUGGAGUACUAGAGUACAGACGAGGUAGGCGGAAUAAGUUAAGUAGCGGUGAAAUGCUUAGAUAUAACUUAGAACCCCGAUAGCGAAGGCAGCUUACCAGACUGUUACUGACGCUGAAGCACGAGAGCGUGGGUAGCGAACAGGAUUAGAUACCCCUGUAGUC